AGCUCCAAGAGUGUAUGCUAAUGUUGUUGCAGUUGAAAAGCUCGUAGUCGAUUCAUUUUCUUUCAAAAUGAAAAAAAGAGAGGGAUAUUUUUUCUUCUCUUUAGAAUUUUGAUUUGAAGAAUAAAAACAUAAUUAUUUUCUUUUUAGAUUUGAAUAUUUCUUAAUUGAAAUCAACAAUUUAAAGAAUUUUCAUAAGAAAAUAAUUUUUACUGUGAAAAAAACAAAAAGCUUAAAUUAAAAAGUAACCUCUUUUUCGGUUUUAACUAGUAUACAUUAGCAUGGGAUAAAAAAGAUUUGAAAAGAAAAAAUAUUUUUCUUUGGAUUUUUUGCUUGUUUCCAAAGAAAAAAAAAAUACGAUAAUUUCUUUUCAAAGGGAAUAGAGUUGUACGAUGCCAUCUGUAUUGUGGGGAGACAGGUGAAAUUGGUUGACCCUCGCAAGACAAACUGAAGCGCAGGCGUUUGGCAAGUUCAAGCUCA
RNAcentral lists this ribosomal RNA (477 nucleotides) under uncultured eukaryote. RNAcentral describes it as "partial small subunit ribosomal RNA". It matches the Rfam family "Eukaryotic small subunit ribosomal RNA", at positions 587 to 972 of the family's 1831-position model. The record is from RNAcentral.